Molecule: non-coding RNA, 3459 nt
Organism: Solanum lycopersicum (tomato)
Lineage: Eukaryota; Viridiplantae; Streptophyta; Magnoliopsida; Solanales; Solanaceae
Source: RefSeq, a predicted model, not a curated record
AUAAUUUUAACUAAAAUAUUAUAUUCCCUCCAACAAAUUUAACUCUCCCUCUCAUUUUCUUUUGACCAAAAAGAAAACUUAACAAAAAACACUCCAAAAAAGUCUCAAGUAUCUGAAAGAGUCCUCUCAUCUUCAUCCUCAAAACCUAGCCAAUUGAUUCUCGAAGCCAUGGUUGAAUUUGAAACCUCAACUCUCAGUUUUUGCUUUAAAGCAUGAAAACCUCUCAAAUUCACAGGUUUGUAAAUCUUAUGAAGAGACAUAUUUGGAUUGAAAGUGAAGCUCUUGCCAAGGGAUGAAUCUGCUAAACAAAGGUUGUGAAUAUGCUAUAUUUAUCAUUAAACUUGGCGUUCCUGGACGUGUAAAUGAAUCUAAGCACCCCUUUAUGACUAACUUGCUAGCGAAUCACAAAUGAGUUUUUAAUGAUUAAAUGUUUUGGUCAUGGAUGAAUGGGUGAGUACUAUUUGAAGUGCAAAUGGCAAGAUUUAGCCAUGGCGAUUUGGUUUUUGUUCUGAUGUGUUCUGUUUCAACGUUAUCUGUUUAAAGUUGGAGUUAAAAAAAGAGUUCUUACUUGUGGCGAUUAGAAUUUCGUUCUAAUGUUUGUAAGUUGAAUGUUAUAUGUUUGACCAUAAAUGGUUAGUGUUUCGUUGUAUAUAUUUGGAUUUUCAUUCUAAUGUUUUUUGUAUUAGCGUAAUCUAUUAAAAAUUGUAGCGCAAAUUAGGUUUUAGUCAUAACUAUUCAUAGCGAGUUUUUAGCUAUGGCGAUUUGAAACUUGUUCUAAUGUUCUCUUUAUUAACGUAAUUUGCUACAAAUUGGAGUGAAAAUUGUGAGCAUUUUGCUAUGGAGUUCUUACAUGUAUUGAGUACCCAAAAUAGUUCAUGAGUUUCUAAUGUUACAUGUAUUGAGUUGUCUUACCAACUCUUUCAUGAACCGAACAUAAAAAUACAUAACAAGAGGUAAUCAUGGAAUGUAAAUUUUUUUUAAGAAGACCAUUGCUUGUGCUAAGUGUACAUAAGUGUAUGAAAUUAGAAUCUUAACAACUAUAUAUGGAUGUCCUGGUGACAUGUACUUAAGAGUGUAUGCCUUUAUCAAAUGAAUACAAGGAUAUAAUGGAUGUAUCAAACUAGUAUGUGGCAAUUGUGUUUUAAGUCCAUCACUUUAUAUGGAUCCUUUUAGGGUGAAAAACUCCUUUUGUAAAUACAUCAGAUCCUUUUGAUUAUUCUUUUUGGCAUUUCACUUCUAUUUUUAUAAGAGCAUCUGAUUUCAGUGGAGCUUAAUCAACAAUGUGGACUGUCCUCCAUCAAGUUUAGUGUCUUUGUUUUAGUGUUUAUACACACACACACAUUCUCCCUCCGUAUUAUAUGUGUCAAGGUAUGAAGUUCAGGCAUGGUAAUCAUUCAUGGUCGGACCUCCCACUGUGAGAAUGCAUAAGUUUUAUGAAGGAGGUUUUCAGUCUAAAAUGAGCAGAAUGAAAGCGACUCUAAUUUUUGGAGUCAUGUCUGUUCUCUCAUUCAUGUUAACGCGUUGCUGCAAUUGUUAUAUCCGAGAUUGUUUAAGUAAUACAUUAAAUCAUCUCCUCGAGUUUGAAGAUAUAUCGGGAACAGUCUCCUUGCCUUCACAAGUUAAGUGUAAGGUUUGCAUACACUACGCCCUCCAUAGGCACCAGGGUAUAUUAUACACAAAUGUUUCAACUCCUAUACAACUCUAUUAGUGCUUUUAAUCUUUCUCAUGCCUCCUUGAACAUGUUACAUUUGCACAAGAUUUUCUCGGAUUCUUGACUAUGGUUUAAUGCUAUCAUUUUUUGGUGUUUCUAUAAUACAAUGAUAUUUUGUAUAUAAGAAUAGCAACACGAGUACUAUUUCUGGAUUUCAUUUUAAUGACAUCAAUAUCUUCAACAAGAAAAAUACUGAAGCAGAUAGAGUGAGGGAAGAACAUAGGAAGGUGAUGGUAGCUAACCAUCUAGAUGCAGGAGGUAAUUACUACCUUGCUUCUAAAAUAAAUGAGGCAAAAUACACUUUGCUUGGAAAGAUGAAUAACAGUGGAUCCCCAUUCUAGGCUACCUAAAAUCUUUGUUUGUUUAGAUAUUCCAAAUCCCAGAGUGGUCAAACCACUAAAAUUAGUGUUAUUUGCAUCAUUGAUAGAGCGUCUCUUGAAAUUUCUAAAAUAGAAAGGGUAUAUCUCUAUCUUUGUAGGUGUCAUUUUCUCCCUCUUCUUUUAUCAUGAUUUUGAUUAAAAAACUUUUGAAUGUCUACUUAGAAGAAGCUUGUAGAUUUAUCUGUAUUAUAUGAUGUUAUCCAAUUUUCCACUAACUCAUCUUAUUAUUAUCUUUAGAUCACAUAUAUUUCUCAUCCUUCCCUUCACCAUAAUAAAAGAAGUUGAAGUUAUUGUGUGUAACGAUUUUUUCCUCUUGUCGAUCCAGAUGUACCAGAUUCUGAAUUCUAAUGAACACUCCAACUUUUAAAGAAUAAUGGUCGUAACCUUUCUUAUUAUCGGCCAAAUAUUGCGCAUCAGGGUAGUUUACUUUGAAACAUCAGCCCUGUCUUGUUGUCCAAUAUUCCUAUAGAAUGAACACUGUUCUUGUAGGCACGAGAUUUAAGUAUUCGUCGCUUGAGACACUAUCUCCAUGUGGGCCACAAUGUGUGUACUUAAUGUCUGAAGACUCUAACAAUACAGUCAGCAAUUCUUUUUUGCUUGACAAUUAUUCAAGUAUACCAUUCUCAAUUGAAGAUCUAUCUAAAUCAAUGAAUCAGAUUGAUAUUGCAGACAUUUAUUGCAGGGAACUUGUUCAGUAUACAGGAUUGGCUUGGGAGGAGUUCAAGCAUAUAAGACAUGCAAUUGAAUUCUUGGUGCAUAAAAUUCAACAACAUUACAGAAUCAACAGAGUGUAUUGGGAUGACAGACAUGGCACACAAAGUGUUUCAUUAGAUGCAAGCCAUAACUUUUGUCCAUAAAAAAUAUACAAUAAAUUUACAAGAUAAAGCUAGCCAUGUACAAAACCUUCCAUCUUACCCAAUAACAGUAGCAACAACUGCAGGCUGAAUAUUCAAAGUCUGAAAUUGUUCAAUUACCUGAGCAAUUUUCUUGUUUCUUCAUUCUUAGUAUUCCACAUUCUGCAUUCCGCAGGUUGUAAGGCAAGUCUUACUGAUUAAUUUUUUUUAUGAUUUGUCUUAUGUUCUAUAUUUUCUCAAGGUAGACUGAGUUGAGUUGUUCAUUUGCGGUCCUGCUUUUCUUCUCUUUCCAAUAGAGAGUUGGAGUCAAUAGUUUCUAAGAGUAUUUGAUCACAUGUUUUUAUACAUUUGUAUGUUAGUGUAUUGUUUUCUUCCAGGUUUUAUCAUUCAUAUUGGUCUGCAUUGUACUUGUUUGAGAUCAUUUAACUCUUUGGUUACUGUUUUCUCCUAUAUUUGUAUUAUCAUUCAUAUUUGCCUACUGUGACAGUCUUGUAAUACAUGUCCUAUUGUUUUC